RNAcentral lists this non-coding RNA (253 nucleotides) under uncultured bacterium. RNAcentral's name for it is "partial 16S ribosomal RNA". It matches the Rfam family "Bacterial small subunit ribosomal RNA", at positions 524 to 776 of the family's 1533-position model. RNAcentral also lists the same sequence under 3 other names. The record is from RNAcentral.
UACGAGAGGCCCAAACGUUAUUCGGAUUCACUGGGCUUAAAGAGUUCGUAGGCGGUCUAGAAAGUUGGGUGUGAAAGCCCUCGGCUCAACCGAGGAACUGCGCUCAAAACUACUAGACUUGAGGGAGAUAGAGGUGAGCGGAACUGAUGGUGGAGCGGUGAAAUGCGUUGAUAUCAUCAGGAACACCGGAGGCGAAGGCGGCUCACUGGGUCUCUACUGACGCUGAGGAACGAAAGCUAGGGGAGCAAACGGG